This is a long non-coding RNA of Betta splendens (Siamese fighting fish), 1486 nucleotides long. RefSeq lists it as uncharacterized. The transcript has 3 exons. Lineage: Eukaryota; Metazoa; Chordata; Actinopteri; Anabantiformes; Osphronemidae. The record is from RefSeq and is a predicted model, not a curated record.
GGAGGCGCAGGUUAUGAAGAGGAGCCACCGAGGGAGGAACAGCUGUCUGUCAGGAGUUAAUUUCCUUUGGGGAAGUCGCGGGAUUGAAGGCUGAGAUGACGCCUCUGGCUCGCAUUGGUCGAGAUGCAGAAGACUGGUGUUUGCUGCUCGUGGCCGCUGCAGCAUGUGUUCGCUGAGGAGUAAGGAGACGAGCAGAGUAAACAAGGAGGCUGGAUGCGGCGCCGUUUCCACAGGGGGAUGGGAAAUACUGCGGCUGGCGCUGCGAGCGGGAUGGAUUCCUGACUGCCGGCAUUUAUGGCUGACAGAGGCUGCUGUUGACACGCCUGAACCUUCGCUUGGGAGCGUGUUGGAGCAUUAACCCCGUCUCUUCCUGGGCUUGGACCGGCUGGCAGACAGACGGUGCCAAAAAAUGUGAGCGAUGCCAGCGCCCAGUGUGGGUUUAAAUGAGCCGUUCUCAAAUGAAAGGUCUGAGCCACAAUCCGUGCUUUUGUUGUGUCUUAUAACAGCGAUGAAGGAUUAAUUGGUUUAGACUUUAAACUCUAGGCCAAACAACACUUUGUAUAAUUAAUAGGUGCUGAUAAGGCCUUUUUAAAACGCCUAUUUAUUAUAAUGCUAAACAUUAGAGGAUAAAAAAAUAAAAGCACGCGUGCUGAAUCAGUGGCGGAUGGUGCUGCAGCAGUAACGAGCACUUGGACCUGUAACAACGUACGCUGUGGGCUGUGGCAGGACAAAGCCAGAGCUGUUUACAGCCACGGCAGCGUUGACUCACACAGUCACACACAGAGGACCAGACCUGAGCUUAGCUGCCGAGGCCGCUGCUGAUGGAUGGCUUCAAGCUGGCAGAGGCUCCUCGGAGCGCAGGACCGCGCCAGCGCCACGCUGCCAACAGAGGCGGAGGUACAAAUACCUCACAUUAGGGGAAUUAUGUCUUCACGCACCAUCCACACCGACGCACCAGCGUCUGUGCUUUUAUGGGCCUUAAUAGCACUCGCAUGGGUGAGACAAUGGCGGUGUCUUUGUUACAAUUGGAUGAAUGCUAAUCGGCUUUUUCCUCAUCGUCUUCUUUUCUGUCUCAGCGUCUUCUGGGCAUCGAGUGAGAUCAAAGUAAGCUGCAAAACAGCACAGCUCUGUGCUGGAGAAUGACUUCAGGGAGAGAUGAGCAGAUUCUGGACCCAGUGUCUGUAUCUAUUACAUGCCCUCAGUACCAGAAACGUCUGGAGGUCGGAUCUUUUCAAAUGCACACGUGCACAUGGGGUCGUUGCCAGAAAAAAAAGGUUUCUCACCCUUUGCUUCAGUGCAAAUAACCCUGCUGCCCUUUAAAAUGCAAUUUCCUGAAACAAGACACAUGCAUCACCCCCCCUGUUUCUGCCCUGGCCAGGCUUUCCACAGGCACUUUGGCAUGAGCAUCCAGUCUGUUGUUUUGAAGGAGGAGGGGUGCUUGUGUUUUUGUCUGCCUGUGUGAGGAGAGAGAGAGGAGUAGAAGGAG